RNAcentral lists this non-coding RNA (92 nucleotides) under Fragilariopsis kerguelensis. Lineage: Eukaryota; Bacillariophyta; Bacillariophyceae; Bacillariales; Bacillariaceae. The record is from RNAcentral.
GUGCGUAUGCCGAUACGGAUUUUGAAAUUGGAACCGAGUCGCGAGAAAGUCGUGGUGAUGAUUGGUUGGGCAGUUUAUUUGGUACUGGUAUU